This 71-nucleotide transfer RNA is filed under the name Arvicanthis somalicus. RNAcentral's name for it is "tRNA-Asn". It matches the Rfam family "tRNA". From Rfam's summary of the family: Transfer RNA (tRNA) molecules are approximately 80 nucleotides in length. Lineage: Eukaryota; Metazoa; Chordata; Mammalia; Rodentia; Muridae. The record is from RNAcentral.
UAGAUUGAAGCCAGAAAUAGGGUAUUUAGCUGUUAACUAAAAUUUUGUAGGUUUAAGUCCUGCCAAUCUAG